UACAGAGGAUGCAAGCGUUAUCCGGAAUGAUUGGGCGUAAAGCGUCUGUAGGUGGCUUUUUAAGUCCGCCGUCAAAUCCCAGGGCUCAACCCUGGACAGGCGGUGGAAACUUCCAAGCUGGAGUACGGUAGGGGCAGAGGGAAUUUCCGGUGGAGCGGUGAAAUGCGUAGAGAUCGGAAAGAACACCAGCGGCGAAAGCGCGCUGCUGGGCCGACACUGACACUGAGAGACGAAAGCUAGGGGAGCGAAUGGG
RNAcentral lists this ribosomal RNA (253 nucleotides) under uncultured bacterium. RNAcentral describes it as "partial 16S ribosomal RNA". It matches the Rfam family "Bacterial small subunit ribosomal RNA", at positions 524 to 776 of the family's 1533-position model. The record is from RNAcentral.